Molecule: transfer RNA, 73 nt
Organism: Camelus ferus (Wild Bactrian camel)
Lineage: Eukaryota; Metazoa; Chordata; Mammalia; Artiodactyla; Camelidae
Rfam family: tRNA
About the family: Transfer RNA (tRNA) molecules are approximately 80 nucleotides in length. Their secondary structure includes four short double-helical elements and three loops (D, anti-codon, and T loops).
Source: Rfam
GAGGGUAUAGCUCAAGUGGCAGAGCACGUGCUUAGCAUGCACAAGGUCCUGGGUUUGAUCCCCAGUACCUCCU